RNAcentral lists this ribosomal RNA (403 nucleotides) under bacterium. Its description in RNAcentral is "partial 16S ribosomal RNA". It matches the Rfam family "Bacterial small subunit ribosomal RNA", at positions 355 to 776 of the family's 1533-position model. The record is from RNAcentral.
UGGGGAAUAUUGCACAAUGGGGGAAACCCUGAUGCAGCGACGCCGCGUGAACGAAGAAGGUAUUCGUAUCGUAAAGUUUUGUCCUAUGGGAAGAUAAUGACAGUACCAUAGAAGAAAGCUCCGGCUAAAUACGUGCCAGCAGCCGCGGUAAUACGUAUGGAGCGAGCGUUGUCCGGAAUUAUUGGGCGUAAAGGGUACGCAGGCGGUUUAAUAAGUCGAAUGUUAAAGAUCGGGGCUCAACCCCGCAAAGCAUUGGAAACUGAUAAACUUGAGUAGUGGAGAGGAAAGUGGAAUUCCUAGUGUAGUGGUGAAAUACGUAGAUAUUAGGAGGAAUACCAGUAGCGAAGGCGACUUUCUGGACACAAACUGACGCUGAGGUACGAAAGCGUGGGGAGCAAACAGG